Neodiprion virginianus is the source of this 240-nucleotide long non-coding RNA. RefSeq lists it as uncharacterized. The transcript is spliced from 3 exons. The record is from RefSeq and is a predicted model, not a curated record. Lineage: Eukaryota; Metazoa; Arthropoda; Insecta; Hymenoptera; Diprionidae.
GUGCUUUGUGGGUGCCAUAGGUUCGUUAAUCAUCGCAUCAAUUCUCGAUAAAACGAAGAAAUUCAGAAUGAUCGCCAUCACCGUGAGCAGUUCGUCCUUAUUUUGCGAAAUACUUUUCGCUACGACCUUGAAUAUGGAAAUUAAAUGGACGGUUUUUCUGUCAUAUUCGCUUUUCGGCAUUACUCUGCUCAGUUUCAGCGCGAUUGGAUUUGAAUUAUGCGCCGAAGCGACUUACCCCGA